AUUCGGUCCCGCCCACUCCCCAGUCUCUCCCGCCUCCCCGAGAGUCACCCCCUUUCCCAGCCCGGGAAGUGGGCGCUGCCGGUCCUCCUGCCCCACCCCUUGAUCGGCCUUAGUCCAGCACCACCCUCUCCCCAGGCUUCGCCCCGCUGUGGUCUCUUAUCUCCAGCCGUACCCCCUUUUUCUCUGUCGCACCUUUCCAGAGCCCAGCGCCCUCUUGCAGUCCAAGCCUGAGACCGUCCCCAUCGCUCACCCGACUCCCCUGGAGACUUCAGGGCCUGCCAGUCUGCUCCGUCUUUUUCCUUUAGGCCCCGCCUCUGUUAGGCCCUCCUUUCUUCCAGACCCCAUUCACACCCCAGAGCCCACGCCGGAGCCGGCACCCCCCCCCCGUGUGGGAUGGAGGGGUGUAGUUAACUCCCUAACCUACAGAAAGAGGCCUCGGUUUCCCAGACCGCGUCUUGCCUCGGGGAGGGCCCGCCCCACUGGCCAUCUAGGUGCCUCCCAAAAAUGGGACACUGCCCCUUCCCAUGAUGGUCUUCACCAUCCCUGUUGGCUUCCCCCACUUCACCCCUCCUGGCUCGUGAACUCUCACCCCAGUCUGGGUGGGUACACCCACCUCAUUGCUCCCCGACUCUGCCUCGCAAUCGAUCAAAUUCAACACCGGGUCAAGGCCCUGUGCAGACGAUCCCCACUCACUCUGCUGCUGAGCUCCGGGACCACCAAGAUGUUG
This 727-nucleotide long non-coding RNA is filed under the name Marmota monax (woodchuck). Lineage: Eukaryota; Metazoa; Chordata; Mammalia; Rodentia; Sciuridae. The record is from RNAcentral.